This 750-nucleotide ribosomal RNA is filed under the name Bacillus sp. DS-3PS-8. RNAcentral's name for it is "bacterial SSU rRNA". It matches the Rfam family "Bacterial small subunit ribosomal RNA", at positions 78 to 813 of the family's 1533-position model. Lineage: Bacteria; Bacillati; Bacillota; Bacilli; Caryophanales; Bacillaceae. The record is from RNAcentral.
GCUUGCUCCCGGAUGUUAGCGGCGGACGGGUGAGUAACACGUGGGUAACCUGCCUGUAAGACUGGGAUAACUCCGGGAAACCGGAGCUAAUACCGGAUAGUUCCUUGAACCGCAUGGUUCAAGGAUGAAAGACGGUUUCGGCUGUCACUUACAGAUGGACCCGCGGCGCAUUAGCUAGUUGGUGGGGUAAUGGCUCACCAAGGCGACGAUGCGUAGCCGACCUGAGAGGGUGAUCGGCCACACUGGGACUGAGACACGGCCCAGACUCCUACGGGAGGCAGCAGUAGGGAAUCUUCCGCAAUGGACGAAAGUCUGACGGAGCAACGCCGCGUGAGUGAUGAAGGUUUUCGGAUCGUAAAGCUCUGUUGUUAGGGAAGAACAAGUGCGAGAGUAACUGCUCGCACCUUGACGGUACCUAACCAGAAAGCCACGGCUAACUACGUGCCAGCAGCCGCGGUAAUACGUAGGUGGCAAGCGUUGUCCGGAAUUAUUGGGCGUAAAGGGCUCGCAGGCGGUUUCUUAAGUCUGAUGUGAAAGCCCCCGGCUCAACCGGGGAGGGUCAUUGGAAACUGGGAAACUUGAGUGCAGAAGAGGAGAGUGGAAUUCCACGUGUAGCGGUGAAAUGCGUAGAGAUGUGGAGGAACACCAGUGGCGAAGGCGACUCUCUGGUCUGUAACUGACGCUGAGGAGCGAAAGCGUGGGGAGCGAACAGGAUUAGAUACCCUGGUAGUCCACGCCGUAAACGAUGAG